AAACAUUGAUAAAUAAUAGAGAAAAUAACAAAACAAAACACACUAAAUAAAAUGUUAGCCCACAAAUAAAAUAGUAUAGCACAUAAUUAAUGUAGAAAAGUUCAACUUACAGGGUCAAAUUCACGGUCAACAAUUGACGUGGCAAGCACACACGUGGAAGCAUCAGGCUCUCCCCAUCUCUCCACUACCUUAGGAGCUUCCUUUUGCUCACUCUUACUUUUAAUAACUACACCCAAAAAAGAUACGUAAGAAAACAAGCACCACUAAUUCUAAGCUAAAAAGGAUCAACUUUAAUACAAACAAAAUAGACAAAAAACUUAAGAUACUAGCGUUAGUCGUAGAAGAAAGUGAUUCAAACCUUAUCGAAAUCAGUUGCUUCCAGAAAUACUUGAAUACAAAAACUGAAAAAAUAAAAUAAAAGAUAAAAACAGAAGAAGAAAGACUAGUAAAAGAGGGAAAAUGUAGGUUAAAGAAAACAAGAAAGAGAAGCUAUGCCGGAAAUCAGUUGCUGCCGGAAAGAAGAAGAACAAUAAGUCUUGCUGCCGGAAAACAGAGUCGGAACAAGAAAAAUAAAAAGAAAGAAGAGAAAUCAGUACCUGAAAGUCGUAGAAAGCUGCGGCUGUGUCUUUCUGAACGGCUACAAUCAACAGCGACAUUGCGAUAGAACAGAGGAGAAAGAGAAAGCGGCCC
This 690-nucleotide long non-coding RNA is filed under the name Nicotiana benthamiana. RNAcentral describes it as "long non-coding RNA (NBEN_LNC029320)". Lineage: Eukaryota; Viridiplantae; Streptophyta; Magnoliopsida; Solanales; Solanaceae. The record is from RNAcentral.